This 699-nucleotide ribosomal RNA is filed under the name uncultured Actinomycetes bacterium. Its description in RNAcentral is "bacterial SSU rRNA". It matches the Rfam family "Bacterial small subunit ribosomal RNA", at positions 8 to 740 of the family's 1533-position model. Lineage: Bacteria; Bacillati; Actinomycetota; Actinomycetes. The record is from RNAcentral.
AGAGUUUGAUCCUGGCUCAGGACGAACGCUGGCGGCGUGCUUAACACAUGCAAGUCGAGCGAGCCUUCGGGUUAGCGGCGAACGGGUGAGUAACACGUGAGCAACCUGCCUUCCGCUCUGGGAUAGCCUCCGGAAACGGGGAUUAAUACCGGAUAGGACUUGUGCCCUCAUGGGUGCGGGUGGAAAGUUUUUCGGCGGGAGAGGGGCUCGCGGCCUAUCAGCUUGUUGGGGGGGUGACGGCCCACCAAGGCGACGACGGGUAGCCGGCCUGAGAGGGCGACCGGCCACACUGGGACUGAGACACGGCCCAGACUCCUGCGGGAGGCAGCAGUGGGGAAUAUUGCGCAAUGGGCGGAAGCCUGACGCAGCGACGCCGCGUGGGGGAUGACGGCCUUCGGGUUGUAAACCUCUUUCAGCAGGGGCGAAUCUGACGGUACCUGCAUAAGAAGCGCCGGCUAACUACGUGCCAGCAGCCGCGGUAAUACGUAGGGCGCGAGCGUUGUCCGGAAUUAUUGGGCGUAAAGAGCUCGUAUGCGGCUUGUCGCGUCUGCUGUGAAAUCUCGGGGCUUAACCCCGGGCGUGCAUUGGAUACGGGCAGGCUGGAGGCAGGCAGGGGAGAACGGAAUUCCCGGUGUAGCGGUGAAAUGCGCAGAUAUCGGGAGGAACACCGGUGGCGAAGGCGGUUCUCUGGGCCUGUUC